UACGUAGGGGGCAAGCGUUGUCCGGAAUCAUUGGGCGUAAAGAGCGUGUAGGCGGUCCGGUAAGUCGGUUGUGAAAGUCCAGGGCUCAACCCUGGGAUGCCGAUCGAUACUGUCGGACUAGAGUUCGGAAGAGGCGAGUGGAAUUCCUGGUGUAGCGGUGAAAUGCGCAGAUAUCAGGAAGAACACCCGUGGCGAAGGCGGCUCUCUGGGACGGUACUGACGCUGAGACGCGAAAGCGUGGGGAGCGAACAGG
RNAcentral lists this ribosomal RNA (253 nucleotides) under uncultured bacterium. RNAcentral describes it as "partial 16S ribosomal RNA". It matches the Rfam family "Bacterial small subunit ribosomal RNA", at positions 524 to 776 of the family's 1533-position model. The record is from RNAcentral.